CUCGUGUUCUCGCGAGAGGCGGGAAAGAGCGAAGGGUUUGAAAGAUGGCGGACGACGUGGACCCGCAACAAACCACCAACACUGUGGAAGAGCCCUUGGAUCUCAUCCGGCUCAGCCUGGACGAGCGCAUCUACGUGAAGAUGAGAAACGACAGAGAACUUCGAGGCCGGUUACACGCUUAUGAUCAACAUUUAAAUAUGAUAUUGGGAGAUGUGGAAGAAACUGUGACAACUAUAGAAAUUGAUGAAGAAACAUAUGAAGAAAUAUAUAAAUUUGGAGUCUAAAAACAGUUCGCUUUCUGACCUUAUGAAUGCUGUUCCUUAUCAUCGCUGCUUGAAAACCUGUUAGUUAUCGCCUAAGCUCAUCUCUUCCUUACACUGCCCUGCCCAGCGCAUCAGGUUGACAGCAACACUACCGAUGUUUGGCUUUUUCGAACCUUUUCCCCAGAACCUAGGUUUGGGCCGUCUUCAUGCUGCUCUUCAGCCACUUUCUAGGCAACAGUUUUGGGACCUCCCUGGUGACUCAGACGAACCCCGUCCGUGGCGCCACGUGGUUGGCAGGGAGUGUGAGGAAUGUCUAGCCGUGUGCCGGGAAGAGGGGGGAACGGCUGCGUGGAUGGCUGCAGCCCCUCCCCUGGCUGUGUUCCAGGAAAAGAAACACUCAGGAGAUGGUUCCUUGUGUCACAAAGUCAACAAAACGGAAUAUUCCGAUGCUCUUUGUACGGGGAGAUGGCGUUGUGCUGGUUGCCCCGCCGUUGAGAGUUGGCUGAAACGAGAAUUCAUCGCGUGUGGAAGAUGGGCUGUACUGUGUGAUUGCCUCUUUGAAUGUGGAAGAUGUUCGAAAGAGAGACCGAUGUGCAUCUUGAUGCUAAGAAAUAACCAAGAAUUCUUCCACUCCUGAAAUAAGUUGAUUUGUAGAUAACUCACAAAUUCUUCAGCUAAACGGCAUUUUUAUUUUUCUCCAACCCUUCCAAUAAAUGUGAUCGCCGCGAUACAGAGCUUUUUCAGGAAUUGAUUUGCUCCACUGUUUUAUUUGGACAAUUUCUGGGUUUCUUCCUUUAAAUUAAAUGUGUCGUUUCCUUUCUUG
Molecule: RNA transcript, 1086 nt
Organism: Budorcas taxicolor (takin)
Lineage: Eukaryota; Metazoa; Chordata; Mammalia; Artiodactyla; Bovidae
Source: RefSeq, a predicted model, not a curated record